UUGCGACCAUGUUACGGUAAAGCACCAGUCCUCACAUUUGAUCACCGAAAUUAAGCACCGUCGAGUCUGGUCACUACAGAGAUGGGUGACUGUUUGUGAAUACCAGGUGCUGUAA
Acanthosepion pharaonis is the source of this 115-nucleotide non-coding RNA. NCBI's taxonomy places the organism in Eukaryota, Metazoa, Mollusca, Cephalopoda, Sepiida, Sepiidae. The record is from the annotation of a GenBank genome assembly.